This 73-nucleotide transfer RNA is filed under the name Podarcis lilfordi (Lilford's wall lizard). It matches the Rfam family "tRNA". Rfam says of the family: Transfer RNA (tRNA) molecules are approximately 80 nucleotides in length. Their secondary structure includes four short double-helical elements and three loops (D, anti-codon, and T loops). Lineage: Eukaryota; Metazoa; Chordata; Lepidosauria; Squamata; Lacertidae. The record is from Rfam by way of RNAcentral.
GCUAGGAUAGCUCAGUCAGUAGAGCAUGCGACUCUGAAUCUCAGGAUUGUGGGUUCAAGCCCUACAUUGGGCU